UACGGAGGGGGCUAGCGUUGUUCGGAAUUACUGGGCGUAAAGCGCACGUAGGCGGCUUUGUAAGUUAGAGGUGAAAGCCCGGGGCUCAACUCCGGAAUUGCCUUUAAGACUGCAUCGCUAGAAUUGUGGAGAGGUAAGUGGAAUUCCGAGUGUAGAGGUGAAAUUCGUAGAUAUUCGGAAGAACACCAGUGGCGAAGGCGACUUACUGGACGCAUAUUGACGCUGAGGUGCGAAAGCGUGGGGAGCAAACAGG
RNAcentral lists this ribosomal RNA (253 nucleotides) under uncultured bacterium. Its description in RNAcentral is "partial 16S ribosomal RNA". It matches the Rfam family "Bacterial small subunit ribosomal RNA", at positions 524 to 776 of the family's 1533-position model. The record is from RNAcentral.